ACGUAGGGUGCGAGCGUUGUCCGGAUUUAUUGGGCGUAAAGAGCUCGUAGGCGGUUUGUUGCGUCGGCUGUGAAAUCCCGAGGCUCAACCUCGGGUCUGCAGUCGAUACGAGCAAACUAGAGUGUUGCAGGGGAGACUGGAAUUCCUGGUGUAGCGGUGAAAUGCGCAGAUAUCAGGAGGAACACCGGUGGCGAAGGCGGGUCUCUGGACCAUAACUGACGCUGAUGCACGAAAGCUAGGGGAGCAAACAGGA
RNAcentral lists this ribosomal RNA (253 nucleotides) under uncultured prokaryote. RNAcentral describes it as "partial 16S ribosomal RNA". It matches the Rfam family "Bacterial small subunit ribosomal RNA", at positions 525 to 777 of the family's 1533-position model. The record is from RNAcentral.